GCAUCCUCCCUACAGAGACCCUGAGAGCACCGCCAAUCUCUAUGGACUGCAGCUGGAGAGUCCUCUUCCUCCUGGCACUGGCUGCAGGGGUCAACUCCCAGGUCCAGCUGCUGCAGUCUGGGGCUGAGCUGAAGAAGCCGGGGACAUCCGUGAAGGUCUCCUGUAAGGCAUCGGGAUACACCUUCACCAGCUACUAUAUGCACUGGGUGCGGCAGGCCCCUGGACAAGGAUUCGAGUGGAUGGGACGGAUCGACCCCGAAGAUGGUGGAACACGCUACGCACAGAAGUUCCAGGGCCGAGUCACCAUGACCAGCGACACAUCCACAAGCACAGCCUUCAUGGAGCUGAGCAGUCUGAGACCCGAGGACACGGCCGUGUAUUACUGUGCGAGAGACACAGUGUGAGAACCCACAUCCUGAGGGUGUCAGAAACCCUGAGGGACCAGGGGUGUGCUGGGAUGAGGAGGGACAGGGGACAAUGACUUCCUGACUCCCU
Manis pentadactyla (Chinese pangolin) is the source of this 495-nucleotide non-coding RNA. The record is from the annotation of a RefSeq genome assembly. Lineage: Eukaryota; Metazoa; Chordata; Mammalia; Pholidota; Manidae.